Molecule: ribosomal RNA, 193 nt
Filed under: uncultured Actinomycetales bacterium
Lineage: Bacteria; Bacillati; Actinomycetota; Actinomycetes; Actinomycetales
Description: partial 16S ribosomal RNA
Rfam family: Bacterial small subunit ribosomal RNA
Source: RNAcentral
UCGGGAUAAGCUUGGGAAACUGGGUCUAAUACCGGAUAGGAGCCAUCUUUAGUGUGGUGGUUGGAAAGUUUUUUCGGUGUAGGAUGAGCUCGCGGCCUAUCAGCUUGUUGGUGGGGUAAUGGCCUACCAAGGCGGCGACGGGUAGCCGGCCUGAGAGGGUGUACGGCCACAUUGGGACUGAGAUACGGCCCAG